CCUACGGGUGGCAGCAGUGAGGAAUAUUGGUCAAUGGACGAGAGUCUGAACCAGCCAAGUAGCGUGAAGGAUGACUGCCCUAUGGGUUGUAAACUUCUUUUAUAUGGGAAUAAAACGUUCCACGUGUGGGAUUUUGUAUGUACCAUAUGAAUAAGGAUCGGCUAACUCCGUGCCAGCAGCCGCGGUAAUACGGAGGAUCCGAGCGUUAUCCGGAUUUAUUGGGUUUAAAGGGAGCGUAGGUGGAUUGUUAAGUCAGUUGUGAAAGUUUGCGGCUCAACCGUAAAAUUGCAGUUGAAGCUGGCAGUCUUGAGUACAGUAGAGGUGGGCGGAAUUCGUGGUGUAGCGGUGAAAUGCUUAGAUAUCACGAAGAACUCCGAUUGCGAAGGCAGUUCACUGGACUGCAACUGACACUGAGGCUCGAAAGUGUGGGUAUCAAACAGGAUUAGAUACCCCUGUAGUC
Molecule: ribosomal RNA, 460 nt
Filed under: uncultured bacterium
Lineage: Bacteria
Description: partial 16S ribosomal RNA
Rfam family: Bacterial small subunit ribosomal RNA
Source: RNAcentral